Molecule: ribosomal RNA, 478 nt
Filed under: uncultured bacterium
Lineage: Bacteria
Description: partial 16S ribosomal RNA
Rfam family: Bacterial small subunit ribosomal RNA
Source: RNAcentral
GACGAACGCUGGCGGCGUGCUUAACACAUGCAAGUCGAACGGUAAGGCCCUUCGGGGUACACGAGUGGCGAACGGGUGAGUAACACGUGGGUGAUCUGCCCUGCACUUCGGGAUAAGCCUGGGAAACUGGGUCUAAUACCGGAUAGGACCCUGGGAUGCAUGUCAUGGGGUGGAAAGCUUUUGCGGUGUGGGGUGGGCCCGCGGCCUAUCAGCUUGUUGGUGGGGUGAUGGCCUACCAAGGGGACGACGGGUAGCCGGCCUGAGAGGGUGACCGGCCACACUGGGACUGAGAUACGGCCCAGACUCCUACGGGAGGCAGCAGUGGGGAAUAUUGCACAAUGGGCGCAAGCCUGAUGCAGCGACGCCGCGUGAGGGAUGACGGCCUUCGGGUUGUAAACCUCUUUCAGCACCGACGAAGCGCAAGUGACGGUAGGUGCAGAAGAAGGACCGGCCAACUACGUGCCAGCCGCCGCGGUAA